CGCGCAGGUGGGAUAUUAAGUCUGGUGUUAAAGUUCGGGGCUCAACCCCGUGCAGCAUUUGGAAACUAAUAUUCUUGAGUGCAGGAGAGGAAAGUGGAAUUCCUAGUGUAGCGGUGAAAUGCGUAGAUAUUAGGAGGAACACCAGUGGCGAAGGCGACUUUCUGGACUGUGUCUGACACUGAGGCGCGAAAGCUAGGGUAGUGAACAGGAUUAGAUACCCUGGUAAUCCUAGCUGUAAACGAUGGGUACUAGGUGUUGGGGGUAUCGACCCCUCCAGUGCCGGAGUUAACGCAAUAAGUACCCCGCCUGGGGAGUACGGCCGCAAGGUUGAA
RNAcentral lists this ribosomal RNA (332 nucleotides) under uncultured bacterium. RNAcentral describes it as "bacterial SSU rRNA". It matches the Rfam family "Bacterial small subunit ribosomal RNA", at positions 568 to 898 of the family's 1533-position model. The record is from RNAcentral.